GUCUGGAUAGCUCAGUUGGUUAAAGUGUGGUGUUGAACAUGCCAAGGUUGCAGGCUCAAUCCCCGUAUGGGACA
RNAcentral lists this transfer RNA (74 nucleotides) under Podarcis lilfordi (Lilford's wall lizard). Its description in RNAcentral is "tRNA.Phe". The record is from RNAcentral. Lineage: Eukaryota; Metazoa; Chordata; Lepidosauria; Squamata; Lacertidae.